This is a long non-coding RNA of Syngnathus typhle (broad-nosed pipefish), 399 nucleotides long. RefSeq lists it as uncharacterized. Lineage: Eukaryota; Metazoa; Chordata; Actinopteri; Syngnathiformes; Syngnathidae. The transcript is spliced from 3 exons. The record is from RefSeq and is a predicted model, not a curated record.
UCAUCAUCAUCAGCGCUUGGCCCGUCUCCCUCCAGCAGUGGCUGACUGUCAAAACAUCAGAGUUGGCUGCAGCAGAAGCCAAUAAUUGCUCUCCUUCCCUUCCCAUCCUCUCCCUCCUCGUCUCUUUCUCCGCCAUCUCCUCAAACUGCUCUCUUCAUCUUCUCUCCUCCUCUUCCUCCUCCGUCGUGCCUGCGGAUAUUCAGCUUGCAUCUGCAAAUUUCAACUGACACACAUCUGAUAUGUUCGUGUUCAUGCUGGCAAACCAUGAGAAACACGUUCUUGCUGAUGGCCGUGUCAGAGAGGUCACAUCUUCCUCCGGGGUUGAGAACAUGACGAGCUGAGCUGGAAACUGCGGAGGAGAAUACGCUGAGUCAUUUCGGUUGAAAGGAACACGGGAGG